This 490-nucleotide ribosomal RNA is filed under the name uncultured soil bacterium. RNAcentral's name for it is "bacterial SSU rRNA". It matches the Rfam family "Bacterial small subunit ribosomal RNA", at positions 26 to 517 of the family's 1533-position model. The record is from RNAcentral.
AGAUUGAACGCUGGCGGCAGGCCUAACACAUGCAAGUCGAGCGGUAGAGAGGUGCUUGCACCUCUUGAGAGCGGCGGACGGGUGAGUAAUGCCUAGGAAUCUACCUAGUGGUGGGGGAUAACGUUCGGAAACGGACGCUAAUACCGCAUACGUCCUACGGGAGAAAGCGGGGGACCUUCGGGCCUCGCGCCAUUAGAUGAGCCUAGGUCGGAUUAGCUAGUUGGUGAGGUAAUGGCUCACCAAGGCGACGAUCCGUAACUGGUCUGAGAGGAUGAUCAGUCACACUGGAACUGAGACACGGUCCAGACUCCUACGGGAGGCAGCAGUGGGAAUAUUGGACAAUGGGCGAAAGCCUGAUCCAGCCAUGCCGCGUGUGUGAAGAAGGUCUUCGGAUUGUAAAGCACGUUUAAGUGGAGAAGGUUGUAACUUAAUACGUUGCUAAUUUGACGUUACCGACAGAAUAAGCACCGCUAACUCGUGCCAGCAGCCU